Molecule: long non-coding RNA, 310 nt
Organism: Meriones unguiculatus (Mongolian gerbil)
Lineage: Eukaryota; Metazoa; Chordata; Mammalia; Rodentia; Muridae
Exons: 3
Source: RefSeq, a predicted model, not a curated record
GCUGAAGUUGUGGAUGGUUGUGAGUGACAGGGCUCCUGGGGACUGAACCCAGAGAGAAAGUACUGAGCGUGCUUCCAUCAAGACAAAGUGGGGCUGAGGACACAUUGGCACGGAGAAAGUUUCUGUUGCCACCACAGGCUACUGUUUACCUGUUCCUUACACACACCUUCAGCAAGAGAGGCAGCUGCCACAAGGCCCAACCUUCAUCCCUGAAAGGAGAACCAAAGCCUGGAGAGGAAGCGCUGGGACCCAGGGUGGUGACUUCGGGAGAAAGGGAGGGGUUACUGACUCACCCUUCCUGUAGACUAGC